UCCACAGGUGUAUCUAUCGUUCAACGAACGAGCGAAAAGGGUAUGCCACUGACCGACUCGGUAAUUAAUCGUCGCUUAUCGAUAAUAGAUAAGCGAGUGGAAUUAGAAGAGAGACAGGGAAGAAAGGGUGGAAGAGCGUUGGGGCUUCUGCGCGUGGCGGGAAAGGAAAUGUGGUAGGGGGAUGCAAGCCCAGAAGGGAGAGGAGGGGGGAGGGGAAAGAGAAACACGAUGUUGGGGUUGGAAAAGCGCGAUCCCUCAGUCGGGAUGCCGGCCGCGUAUCCUCUCGUCCUCGCUUCGUGCUACCGCGAUGUUCGGUGAACGUGCGAACCGUGUUUUGGGGAGCGUCGGCAACCGUUCGCGGUUCUUCACCGCUGCUACGCUUUUCCUACUUUCCAGUUUUGCGGCCAGUGUUUGGGCCGAUAAUUCGACCGGUUCCAUCGAGGGACCGAGCUUUACCGUGCCAAUAACAAACGUGACGAUCCCGAUGGGCAGGGAAGCCGUGCUCACUUGCGUCGUUGCAAAUCUUUCUAUCUACAAGGUAGCAUGGUUGCGUGUGGAUACACAAACUAUUCUAACGAUAGCGAAUCAUGUGAUAACAAAGAAUCAUAGAAUCGGAGUAACGCAUACCGAACGCAAGACAUGGCAUUUACAUAUACGCGAUGUGACCGAAUCCGAUCGAGGUGCUUAUAUGUGCCAGAUAAAUACCGAUCCGAUGAAGAGUCAAACCGGUUAUUUGGAUGUCGUAGUUCCGCCCGAUAUUUUAGAUUAUAUGACAAGCACGGAUAUAAUAGUCAGAGAAGGUAGCAAUGUGACAUUACGUUGUGCUGCUAAAGGAUCUCCAACACCAAAUAUUACAUGGAGGCGAGAAGAUGGAGAAACUAUAUUUCUCGAGAAUGGAAAAGAAGUGAAAAUUGUCGAGGGUUCGAUCUUCAAUAUCACCAAGAUAAGUCGAUUGCAGAUGGGUGCCUAUUUAUGCAUAGCCUCGAACAGUAUACCACCUACCGUCAGUAAAAGAAUAAUGCUUACGGUACAAUUUAGUCCAAUGAUUUCAAUCCAAAAUCGAUUGAUCGGGGCUCAAGAGGGACAAAGAAUAACCUUGGAAUGUAACUCGGAAGCGUUUCCGCAAUCCAUCAAUUAUUGGACGAAGGAAAACAAUGAAGUUAUAAAAAAUGGAGAUAAAUAUAACCAAUCAUUCACGAAUAACGUGUACAAAGUACACAUGAAACUCACGAUAUUAGCGGUGGAAAUGUCCGAUUAUGAAACAUAUAAAUGCAUAUCAAAAAAUUCUUUGGGGGAAACAAAUGGCAGUAUUAAACUUUAUCAUAUUCCGACACCAACGACACAGCCGAGAACCACGACUACUACUACUACUACUACUACUACUACUCCAGUUCCUACUACUAGCGAAGAAGGUAGAUGUGAAAUAAAAAUUUCAUCGACACAAGUUUAUAAUUAGCGUUUCAUACAGUAUGAUAUAUAACUGUAUACAAUUAUCGACAUCUAUAAAUUAGUUGAAAAUAUUCAAAAUUCACGACAAAGACCAGAACCCAGUGCAGAUCUUAAUGCGUAUCAAAUAACUGAUUCGUCAUUGCCUAACAUCGAACAUAGAACCGAUGAUAUACAUCUUUAUGGAAGGGCGAGCAGCGAUAGUUACAACGAUGCUGAAAAUGUUAUAACAACAAAUGGACGAAAAAGCAUCGACAGCGAAGUACGACCACGAAGAAUCGACAAUACGGCGCAAUCGAUGUCAUCCAGGGAUUCUAAUUCGAAUUUUCAAGUACAA
Molecule: unclassified non-coding RNA, 1783 nt
Filed under: Apis dorsata (giant honeybee)
Lineage: Eukaryota; Metazoa; Arthropoda; Insecta; Hymenoptera; Apidae
Description: neurotrimin-like, transcript variant X3
Source: RNAcentral